Long non-coding RNA from Cercocebus atys (sooty mangabey), 2591 nucleotides. RefSeq lists it as uncharacterized. NCBI's taxonomy places the organism in Eukaryota, Metazoa, Chordata, Mammalia, Primates, Cercopithecidae. The transcript is spliced from 2 exons. The record is from RefSeq and is a predicted model, not a curated record.
GAAGUAGCUGGUAAGGAAAGAAGAGACUCAGUGAGCUGGCAACCCUCUCAUUAUCACUAAUAAAGUAUUUACCUGCUUUUUUGCCUUUAUAAAUUACAGUUCUGGCCUCAUUGCAAUCGUUUGCUCAUAAAAUGUCUUGUGGAACAGCCUGACCAAUCAAUUUUUUAAAUGGAUGUUCCUGCUGUAAGGCCAGGUCCCAUAAUUACAUUUAAAGUGGUUUAAUUCAGAGCUGGGGCAAGACCCAGUGAAGAAUCCUGAUUUUAUCAGAAUUUAAAAGCCUGAAGACUUGUAAAGAACGGUGUCUCCAUUAUCUGCCCUCGUUUGAGAAAAACAGAUUGCAAGAUUAACUGCUGCAUAAAUAAAUUAAAUUUGGGUAGACAAUAACACAAAUGUUGUUCAUCAUUAAGGUUUCUGGAUUAAUAAUGGCCAGAGAAACAGGCUGUGUUGCUGCUGCAACAUGCUGUUCGCACGGUCGCAUCGAUGCUGAAUUGAAUCUCUUGUAGGAGAGCUGUAUUUUUUGGUGUUCAGAUUUGCUAACUUUUCACUGAAAGUUGAAAUGCUUUCUUAUAUGGAGAAUAAUAAGAUUAUCCUUUAUUUAAUUGGAAAAUUCGAUGCAUUUUUGGAAUAACCAAGAACUCUUAUUGGUAUUUUAACUCUUACUUUAAGUGUCUUGGAACAGGGAACUUAACUGCUUCAAGGUCAAAGCCAUGUCGCUCAGCUGGGCUUUGCUCUCCUCUGGAUGUGAGCUAGCUGUCCUUAUUACUGUUUAUAGAUGUUGUGUGUGUGCACAGGGGAAGGAAAAACCUGGUGUCCCCAUGUGGAUGGGCACCUUCUGUUUUCCAAGAUAAAAAGUUCUUAGGGAUGGAGGUAAAGUGUCCCAGAGGCCACGGGGGCACUAGAGGACAGACACAACGCCGAGAGUCUGUGUUAGGGACAACCUGGCACUCGGCGGUAUAAGGCCUUGCCCUGCACCCACUUGCUGGACCAGAAGACGGCAUCAGUUCCUGAUGACUCGCCCGCGUAGCUGUUCAGGUGAUAUGUUCAUCCAGCUGUUAACAUACCGUCUUUCCUCAGCAGCUGAAAUCCCUCAUGUUUGUUUCUGUGGCACCAUCAGAGCUCCCACCCCCUUGGUUUUGGGGGUCUACGGCCGCCUCUGUCUGGUGGCGGAACCGCCACUGCUUUCCUCACUUCCAGUGCCACCUGUUCCAACAACCCAGGUGCCCCCGGGCCAUGCUUCCUGCCCAGCGCCUUUACUACUCUGCCCUCUGUGCUGCCCGCUGGCGACCCGUCAUCGUCUGCUUCAGAGAGGGAGUUCUGUGAAGUCCCACUUCCCUUGGGAGCCCACUGUGGCCUGUCACGAGCUCUGGCCCUCCAUCUAAACACCCGGGUUCCCACAGCCUUGUCAUACAGAAGAGUGUCACUGCCCUAAAAAGCCGUCUAUGCUCUGCCUACUCACCCUCUCUCCUUCCCUCCCUCUGAACCCCUGGCAAAUUAAUUUUGGAGGAACUUGAAUUGUUUUAGAGAAAAUGGGGGCUAUGUAACAAUUUUUGUAAAACGUUUUAAAAAAUCCUAGUGUCCAGGUUUUAUUUCAGAAAUAGAGUGGUGUUCUCCCAACCACACACCACCACACAUCACACUUGCCAGCAACUCUAAAGGGAAUGGAUUUGUGACUUGAGGCUGUGCGCUCCGGGUGCCCAUGGUGGCUGGCCCAAGCUCCUGGCAGAGACCUGCAUGGUGAGGGCAGGGCUCAGGCCCAGCUGCUUUCCCAUAUCCAAGGACAACUUUAGCACCAGCUACAGGCUCCCAGGGGAAGACUACUAGGAGCGAUAAAGUACCCCACACAGCCUGCCGUCUAGAAAUCUUCGGGAGAGAGGGCCAGGUAUGCACAUGGCCCCGACGUGCUUUUUAAGGGGCUGUGUGCAUUUGGGUGUCAAUGCCACAAAAAUCAUUUUUGCACAGCUGUGAGAAAAAAGUUACACCUUUUGAAGACUGAAAUAGAAGACCUUACUGUCUCUGUUCAUGCUGCCAAUGGCCAGCCUGGUUUAUUUGGGAGGACUUAAAUUCCCCAUCACUUCUGCAAAUAAUACCCUUUUCCAAGAAGCCCUGGGAGAUUUUGACUUGCAGAACUGAAUUAACCAUUUCUGGUCGAUAUAGUCCGAUCGUUAAGCAAUUGACUAAAUGUCUCCAGAGGUCAUCCUCGCCCGCUCAUCCAGGCAGUUCCAUCGACAGACUCAUAAACGGAGUGGGGAUGUGAAGGCCAGCUUAGCCAUCGGACACGCUGAAGGCCGAGGAAAGCCGAUCAACAUGACACACUGGGAGAAGUUGUAGGAAAAAGUCCAGCACAUCUACGGGGAAAGAGAAGUGGUAAAGGUGUCCUUUAAAGGCCGGGAUCUCAACUCCAAGGCCAAGGCCUUCCUGGCCAGCAGGAAAGGAGUGCUGUGACUGCAGGUGUGCCUUUUCCAGCACUGGCAUGGCGUGGCAGGGCGCGCUGAACUACGCACCAGGUGGCAAAGAGGAGGCGGGUGGCAGGGAAGAAACACAUCACUUUUUCCAAGAUUUUUUUUUUUUUAAUAAAAAGCAUUCUAAUUUUC